Long non-coding RNA from Oreochromis aureus, 877 nucleotides. RefSeq lists it as uncharacterized. Lineage: Eukaryota; Metazoa; Chordata; Actinopteri; Cichliformes; Cichlidae. The transcript has 3 exons. The record is from RefSeq and is a predicted model, not a curated record.
GCGACACACUGUCUGACGGACUACCUCAACUUUUGUGUGGACACAGUCGGCCCUGCUAAGACGGUACGGUGUUAUCCUAAUAACAAACCGUGGGUAACACAGGAAGUCAAAGCUGUCCUCAACAUGAAGAAGAAGGCCUUCAGGAGCAAAGUGAAGGAGGACAUGAAAGCAGCACAGCGGGAGGUGAAACGCUGCUUGAAGGAAGCAAAGGAUGCCUACAGGAGGAAGGUGGAGCAGAAGUUGGAGAGGAACAAUAUGAGGGAGGUCUGGAAUGGUGUGAAAAUGUCAUGGUCUGGGCGGGCCUGAGUAACUUUCCUCAGCAUCAGCUCUCCUCCUUUGGGUGGAGCCCUUCCUGCCCCUCUCCGUUCCUCAGCUGCAGGCAAUUAUUCUGGCAGUAUUUAGGAGCAGCGCACACUAUGAGUCUUCGCCAGAUCGUCUGCUAACCCCAUCGGUACCUGGACUCAUCAUCCCAAAACCUGCCAUAGCCUCAUUCCUGGAUUCCGGUCAGCUGCUGCUUAAUCCUUUUCAGUCAAACUGCCACUCACACCUGCCUGCCUCCCUGCAUACCAGUAUUGGACUCAGCGCUCGCCUGGACCUCGCCUCGCCUCCACCUUCAGUUAAUCCCCGCCUGCGAACACUGCCCUGGUCUGCCAUAGCUUCCACCAGCCCCACUCCAGUUUCAGCAGUUUAGUGACCUGUCUGUUCCAUGCUCGCCCUAGCCCCGCACCUCACAGACACCACGCUUUUGCACUAAGUUUAACCUUGUUUUCUGUCUUGAAUAUUUAUGUUAGAGACACGUGUGAAUAAAAGUUUUUGUUUUCGCAAAUCACUUUGAGCUUCCGGUCUUUGGUUCUGCGCCUGAGUCCAUUCCACGUCA